Non-coding RNA from Cucurbita pepo subsp. pepo (vegetable marrow), 300 nucleotides. Lineage: Eukaryota; Viridiplantae; Streptophyta; Magnoliopsida; Cucurbitales; Cucurbitaceae. The record is from RefSeq and is a predicted model, not a curated record.
UUUUUUUUUCAUGUUUCAUUGCAGAUUGUUCCAACUGAAUAUAGAUAUAUCUCAAAAGAUGUGUUGCCUACCAAUCAGUUUUCAGUCACUGAAUAUUUCUCGCCUAUGACCAACUCUGAAAGAACAUGGCCAGCUGUUUACUUCUUAUAUGAUCUUUCACCAAUCACUGUGACCAUCAAAGAAGAAAGACGAAGUUUUCUCCACUUCAUAACUCGGCUGUGUGCUGUGUUAGGAGGCACCUUUGCGGUGACAGGAAUGCUAGAUCGCUGGAUGUUUCGGUUUCUUGAGGCUCUGACAAAA